UAGGGAAUCUUCGGCAAUGGACGAAAGUCUGACCGAGCAACGCCGCGUGAGUGAAGAAGGUUUUCGGAUCGUAAAACUCUGUUGUUAGAGAAGAACAAGGACGUUAGUAACUGAACGUCCCCUGACGGUAUCUAACCGGAAAGCCACGGCUAACUACGUGCCAGCAGCCGCGGUAAUACGUAGGUGGCAAGCGUUGUCCGGAUUUAUUGGGCGUAAAGCGAGCGCAGGCGGUUUCUUAAGUCUGAUGUGAAAGCCCCCGGCUCAACCGGGGAGGGUCAUUGGAAACUGGGAGACUUGAGUGCAGAAGAGGAGAGUGGAAUUCCAGGUGUAGCGGUGAAAUGCGUAGAUAUAUGGAGGAACACCAGUGGCGAAGGCGGCUCUCUGGUCUGUAACUGACGCUGAGGCUCGAAAGCGUGGGGAGCAAACAGG
This 429-nucleotide ribosomal RNA is filed under the name Gemmatimonadota bacterium. Its description in RNAcentral is "Gemmatimonadetes bacterium partial 16S ribosomal RNA". It matches the Rfam family "Bacterial small subunit ribosomal RNA", at positions 355 to 776 of the family's 1533-position model. The record is from RNAcentral. Lineage: Bacteria; Pseudomonadati; Gemmatimonadota.